GAAAAAGAAAUCCUUGAUUUAAAUUUGAAUUUUUCUAACUUUACUCACUGUUGAAAUUUGGCGUGUACUCCAAUGUAUGUCUAAAAACAAGAAAAGACAACGUUGAAUACGAAGUUUUAUUACGAUUAAUAAAGGAAUAAGGGAAAAAUCA
Non-coding RNA from Onthophagus taurus, 151 nucleotides. The record is from RefSeq and is a predicted model, not a curated record. Lineage: Eukaryota; Metazoa; Arthropoda; Insecta; Coleoptera; Scarabaeidae.